Molecule: long non-coding RNA, 236 nt
Filed under: Nicotiana benthamiana
Lineage: Eukaryota; Viridiplantae; Streptophyta; Magnoliopsida; Solanales; Solanaceae
Description: long non-coding RNA (NBEN_LNC018314)
Source: RNAcentral
CAGGAGUGUUGACACUACAAUGAAGAAAUUGGUCUCCCUCUUGAAUACCAGUGACAUUAAUCUUCUGAUCAUCCCAUAGGAUCCAGAUUCUACCUCUUGGGGAGUCCCUAUAGUUAGCUAGCAACUUCCAGCCAGGGACUAAACUAUUAGCUAUUCUCCCUGCAUUCUGUUCUUUAACCUUUAUCUCUACCAAACUGACAAUGUUAAAUUUAUUUUAUCUAAAGUAUUCCCUAGCU